This 1109-nucleotide long non-coding RNA is filed under the name Salvia miltiorrhiza (redroot sage). RNAcentral's name for it is "long non-coding RNA (SMIL_LNC004970)". The record is from RNAcentral. Lineage: Eukaryota; Viridiplantae; Streptophyta; Magnoliopsida; Lamiales; Lamiaceae.
GGUGGCUAUUAGGAACAUAGGGUAUGGUGUGAGAUGGGGUGUUGAUUGAACUAAUAAAAUCCCUCAAGAUAAAAUACCGGGACUGUAAUAAUACUUCAGGGUUCGCUAAAUAAAUAGCUCGUGAAAAUACUUGAAUGCUAAAUUAAAUAAAUAUGCAAUGCAUAUAAAUUCAAUAACUAAAUUUACAAAUGUUUUUUUGUAAAUCAUUUUUUUGUUGGAAUUAAAAAUAAAUUUAUUUUCUUUAUAUCCGGCGUGAAUCAUCUUAAUCUAAGUUUUAAAAAAAAUUCUAAAUUUAAUAUAAAUAGGCGGGGUGUUACAGAGACGUGCUCGGAAGCCAACGCAAUGUAGUAUAGUUGCUAGGCCUCCGGCCGAUCUACCGGAAAGAAUAACCUGCAAAUAAAUAAAUAUCUUGUAAAUUAAGUAAUUAAUUUAAAUGUGACAUUGCAAUUAAUUAAAAAAAAAUCAUUAAUUUCCCUGUUGGAAUAUAAGUAUAUAAAUGGAUAAUUUAUUUAAUUGAUGGGAGAAAAUAUGGAGAAAUAUUGUGCAAGUGUGUGGACGUGUGUGUGUAUUUAAGAAAUGUGGAGAUCAAAAUGUAAUGUGAAGUAUUUAAUGCUAUUUCUUUUCUUCACUUCCAAAUUGAAAUGAUACAAUAUAUAUUUAUAGUGUACAAUGUCGGUUAACUAGCCGACUUAGUCAAUCUCUAGAACAAUCUAGCUAGGCUUACAUUCUUAUAGAUUAAGUAAUGCAAGUUGCAUUUAUAAAUUAAGUUCUAGACUAUUCUACUUAGUUCCUAUAUUUUAUUUUUAUUCUUUAUUCUAGAUUUUUCUUCUCAAAUAUCUUUACUUAAAAAUCAAGUUUAUUUAUAUUUCAACAUUCCCUACAUUCUCUCCGGCACCAAUUCCCUUAGCCAAAAGUUCCUCCACCAGAGCAUCGAAAUUCCUCGACCCUCUGAAUUGAACUAUUGGUCCCUGAUUAUUUAUAUUAAUUAUUUUAAUAAAUAUAUAGAGAUGGAUCGAUGAUUUAAUGAAUUAUUUUCAAAAUUUAUAUAUGCUACAACUUACUUGACCAUCAUCAACUACAGUGUCUCCGAGGAAUGAUGCCUGGUCACA